AUGUCUGACAAGCUCAAGGGUUGUGAGCUUCGGAAAGUGAAGUUGCGGGAUGGGAAGAAUAUGAUGUGUGAUUCGAGGCGUCGUUGCGUCUGUGCCCCACCUCCUACACUUCGUCUCCUCGGCCCUAAAGGCACUAGCAACCGGACCAAGAAAAAGAUUGAGCCAUUGUGCAGGGACGUUCAGCUGAAGGAUCUUCUCGUAGCUUACGUACCAAUUGGAAAUCAGCGAAGGCAGAAUUUUGCACUUCUAAGCCAUGACCUUGAUUUUACAAAGUUCCUCAUGCCUCCUCCUCCUAUGUACUGA
RNAcentral lists this ribosomal RNA (303 nucleotides) under Triticum aestivum (bread wheat). RNAcentral's name for it is "partial small subunit ribosomal RNA". The record is from RNAcentral. Lineage: Eukaryota; Viridiplantae; Streptophyta; Magnoliopsida; Poales; Poaceae.